This 170-nucleotide ribosomal RNA is filed under the name uncultured eukaryote. Its description in RNAcentral is "partial small subunit ribosomal RNA". The record is from RNAcentral.
GUACACACCGCCCGUCGCUGCCYGGAACUGAGCCAUUUCGGGAAAAAUGGGGACUGAYUGCUUGUGAGCACGCAAGUGCUUCUUGCAGUCGGAAACCAUCUUGAUCGGUAUGGCUUGAACCGGGCAAAAGUCGUAACAAGGUUUCCGUAGGUGAACCUGCAGAAGGAUCA